RNAcentral lists this small RNA (480 nucleotides) under Malus domestica (apple). Its description in RNAcentral is "sRNA MD16G0144400". The record is from RNAcentral. Lineage: Eukaryota; Viridiplantae; Streptophyta; Magnoliopsida; Rosales; Rosaceae.
UCCCGUUUCCCCGCUUCGCCUCGCCCCAAGCCUAAGAACUUGCCCUCCCACUGUCUCUCUCCCUCCUCCCUUUCUUCUGUCCAGAAGAUCUCUAAGUCUGCAAGAAUUUCCAAGUCUACAAGAAUCCCCAAGUCUGCACCUGGGUUUGACAGAAACGAUUCAAAUGAAUCUGAAAAGUCCAAGUCUGCAAGACUUGAUUUGCAAGUUAAACGGUUCUGGGUUGGGCACUCUACGUUUUGUCUCGAAGGAUUACAACUACAGAGGAUUUCAAAGUAUUUGAUGGAAGGUCGAGAAGGAAUUUGUUGUUGUUAUUGAAGAGCUAUUCGGCUACAAAUCUUCAAGUAACUACUUGAGCAGAAAAUAAAUAGAGGACUUAUGAAGGAGAUGAACUCUCGUAUAUUAGGAAAAUGAUUAUGUGAAUUGGGUUGGAUUUGUGAGUUGUCUGUGAAAUACCAAAUUGAAGGAUUUGAUUUUUCUGGG